GACGAACGCUGGCGGCGUGCUUAACACAUGCAAGUCGAACGGUAAGGCCCUUCGGGGUACACGAGUGGCGAACGGGUGAGUAACACGUGGGUGAUCUGCCCUGCACUUCGGGAUAAGCCUGGGAAACUGGGUCUAAUACCGGAUAGGACUCCUGGCUUCAUGGUUGGGGGUGUAAAGCUUUUGCGGUGUGGGAUGGGCCCGCGGCCUAUCAGCUUGUUGGUGGGGUAAUGGCCUACCAAGGCGACGACGGGUAGCCGGCCUGAGAGGGUGACCGGCCACACUGGGACUGAGAUACGGCCCAGACUCCUACGGGAGGCAGCAGUGGGGAAUAUUGCACAAUGGGCGCAAGCCUGAUGCAGCGACGCCGCGUGAGGGAUGACGGCCUUGGUUGUAACCUCUUUCAAUAGGGACGAAGCGC
This 418-nucleotide ribosomal RNA is filed under the name uncultured bacterium. RNAcentral's name for it is "bacterial SSU rRNA". It matches the Rfam family "Bacterial small subunit ribosomal RNA", at positions 28 to 453 of the family's 1533-position model. The record is from RNAcentral.